UGUGUGAGUCAAAAUAUGAUUGACCCCUUCAAAUAAGUAGGAGUUAAUGCAUCACUAUAUUUUAAUUUAGUAAAAUCUUGAUCAAAAUAAUUCAUAUGAUGGAUUUGAAAGGUUGAAAUACAAUAUGGUUGACUAUUUUAAGAUUGACAGUUAAACCCAAGAUCACCUUGAGCAUUAGGUCAAAGAGAUGAAUUUAUACGGUAACCAGUCCAGUUGGUUCUAAGUGUU
RNAcentral lists this long non-coding RNA (228 nucleotides) under Elaeis guineensis (African oil palm). RNAcentral describes it as "long non-coding RNA (EGUI_LNC019033)". The record is from RNAcentral. Lineage: Eukaryota; Viridiplantae; Streptophyta; Magnoliopsida; Arecales; Arecaceae.